This is a long non-coding RNA of Pimephales promelas (fathead minnow), 1377 nucleotides long. RefSeq lists it as uncharacterized. The record is from RefSeq and is a predicted model, not a curated record. NCBI's taxonomy places the organism in Eukaryota, Metazoa, Chordata, Actinopteri, Cypriniformes, Leuciscidae.
CGUGACAACUGAGGACGACAUUCUGAGCCGGUUUGAAAUCGGUAAAAUGCUUGGUGAGGGAGGAUUCGGUUCGGUUUAUGAAGGGAAACGCUUGGCGGAUGGCCUUGAGGUGGCGGUGAAAUUUGUCAAAAAAAAAGAGGGCAUGAAAUACAUCAACAUUCCCCAUCAUGCUGCACCCGUCCCAUUGGAGAUCGGCUUGUUAGCCAUUGUUAAUAGGGGCCUCAAAAUUAAAGAGGUCAUUGAACUGCUGGACUGGCAGGACCAGGCUGACCGAUAUAUCAUGGUCUUGGAGCGUCCCCCAAACUGCAUGGAUGGGUUUGAUUUUUGGGCUCAACAGGAUUACAUGUUCAACGAGGAAACGGCACGGACCAUCAUGAAGCAGGUGACAAUGGCUGCUCAAAUGUGCUGUGCCAAAGGAGUUUUCCACAGCGACAUCAAGUUGGAGAACCUGCUGAUCAACCCAGAAACACUUGAGGUCAAACUGAUCGACUUCGGGUGCGGGAGACUCAUGCAAGUGAUGGCCUAUAACGUCUUCAGUGGCACACACGAGUACUGUCCACCGGAGUUCAGCAGAUGGGGCAAGUACUACGCUAAAUCAGCUACUGCGUGGUCUCUGGGAAUGGUCUUAUUCGAAAUGCUGUCUGGACACCUUCCAGGAUCCGAAGAGAUGGACAAGAUUAAUGAUGACACCUGGUCUGAUCCUCGCUUGUCAAACGAAUGCUGCGACCUGAUUCGACGCCUCCUGCAGAGAAAACCAAGACAACGGAUGGGUUUGGACAAAAUCAUGUCCCAUAAAUGGUUUAAGAGAAGGAGAGCGCGAUAGUCAGGAGAGACAGAAGAGGAAGAGUAGGUCAGAGCAGCAGCUGAGGUCAAGAUGAAACCAAGCGGACAUCCUUUAUCAUUGGCCAGAAGAGAAAACGAAGUUCCCGCAGUGCUCAGCGUUACGAUCCUCAACAUCCAGCACCGAUGUGGCUGAAACCCAUCAGCAUUUUUGUGUUGGUGAGGAAAAAGAGUCUGAAGAGGAAGAGGACGGAUCACCUUCAUCACCUUCUGUGACCGGAGAGGCAGCGCAGACCGAGAUACAUGAGGGACAUGCUGAGGUCAAUGCAGAUCCCCUCAUGAUUGCUAAUCGGUCUGAUAAUGAGAGUAGAGUCCCAUAUACCUGGAAAACUGGCAUGCGACCCGCCAAUUAAUUAAACCAAAAGGAUCAUGACCGGCAGUACAUGCACAUUGGAGCGAUGGUGGAGUUUGCGUCGGCUUUGCUGGGGACUCUGGAUGACAUCAACAACCAUUUCUUUAGUGGCUUAGCACUUUCACACCCAACAACAUAUUGUUAAAGGGAUACUCCACUUUUUUUGGAAAUAGGCUCAUUUGACC